GUAGCUCAAUCGGCAGAGCAGCCGGCUCAUAACCGGUCGGUUGGGGGUUCGAGUCCCUCC
RNAcentral lists this transfer RNA (60 nucleotides) under Armatimonadota bacterium. RNAcentral describes it as "tRNA-Met". It matches the Rfam family "tRNA", at positions 7 to 64 of the family's 71-position model. Rfam says of the family: Transfer RNA (tRNA) molecules are approximately 80 nucleotides in length. Their secondary structure includes four short double-helical elements and three loops (D, anti-codon, and T loops). Lineage: Bacteria; Bacillati; Armatimonadota. The record is from RNAcentral.